GAUUAACGCUGGCGGCGUGCCUAACACAUGCAAGUCGAGCGGCAGCGAGUUUUACACUGAAUUCUGGAAGCUUCUAGUUGAAAGAGAAGAUAUAUUCAAGAAUUUUGUGUAAAAUGUCGGCGAGCGGCGGACGGCUGAGUAACGCGUGGGAACGUACCCCAAAGUGAGGGAUAACGCAUCGAAAGGUGUGCUAAUACCGCAUAUGGUCUUCGGAUUAAAGCCUUCGGGCGCUUUGGGAACGGCCUGCGUAAGAUUAGAUAGUUGGUGGGGUAAUGGCCUACCAAGUCGACGAUCUUUAACUGGUUUGAGAGGAUGAUCAGUCAGACUGGAACUGAGACACGGUCCAGACUCCUACGGGAGGCAGCAGUGAGGAAUCUUCCACAAUGGGCGAAAGCCUGAUGGAGCAACGCCGCGUGCAGGAUGAAGGCCUUCGGGUUGUAAACUGCUUUUAUAAGUGAGGAUUAUGACAGUAACUUAUGAAUAAGGAUCGGCUAACUACGUG
Molecule: ribosomal RNA, 502 nt
Filed under: uncultured bacterium
Lineage: Bacteria
Description: partial 16S ribosomal RNA
Rfam family: Bacterial small subunit ribosomal RNA
Source: RNAcentral